Cervus elaphus (red deer) is the source of this 3235-nucleotide long non-coding RNA. RefSeq lists it as uncharacterized. The record is from RefSeq and is a predicted model, not a curated record. NCBI's taxonomy places the organism in Eukaryota, Metazoa, Chordata, Mammalia, Artiodactyla, Cervidae. The transcript has 4 exons.
CCCCGCCCCAGCCCCGCGUCCACUCCCCGAGCCCCGCGCCGCCUUGGAGACAAACGCGCUCCGUUCUUCUCUCUUCUCCAGCUCCCCGAAGUCGCGUCCUCCUGGCUCCACCAGAUUGUGAAACUUCUCAGCAGUGGAAUCUUUUUGCCUGAAGGGGCCUGCCUUCCAGGGAAGCCUAGAGUUGCAAGCACCAGAAAGGAAGAUUAUGUGCCAUGUGUAUCCCUAAAAGCUGGAAGACAGACUGAUCUGCGGAAGGAGCAAAACUGAUGAAUCAUCUGACCGAAGAUGGCUUGCUACCUGACGUUCUUUGUUGAACCAGGAAGCAGACAGGUGUAAUUGACCUGCAACACUAUGGGUGCAUAUGCUGUCGUGUCUGACUCUUUGCCACCCCGUGGGCUAUAGCCCAGCAGACUCCUCUGUCCAUGGAAUUCUCCAGGCAAGAAUACUAGAGCAGGUUGCCGUUUCCUACUCCAGGGGAUGUUCCUGACCCAGGGAUUGAAACUUGAGUCUCUUGCAUCUCCUGUAUUGGCAGGUGGAUUCUUUACCACUGCAGCACUUGUGAAGCUCCAUCUACCAAUAUGGCACUGGUUUAAACAGAUGCAGUGUAUCCAUGGGAAGGACUAUUACACAGCUGUUUUAGAAGAGUGAGGAAGAACAUGCUGACCUCACUGUUUAUUAUGUGUAUACCACAUUGUUCUGAUUACUGUAGCUUUCUUUGUAGUAUAAUUUGAAAUCAGAGUGUGAUACCUCCAGCUUUGCUCUUCUUUCUUAAAAUUGUUUUGAUGAUUCAGGAUCUUUUAUGUGUCUGUACAAAUUUUAGAAUUAUUUGUUCUAGUUCUAUGAAAAAUGCCAUUGAUAUUUAUAGGGAUUGCAUUGAAUCUAUAGGUUUCCUUGGGGAGUAUAGUCAGUUUAACAAUAUUAAUUUUUCCAACCCGUGAGCACAGUAUAUUUUUCCAUGUGUUUGUGUCAACUUCAGUUUCUUUCAUCAGUAUUUUAUAGUUUUUUGUUUGCAAACCUUUUACCUUCUUAGGUAGGUUUAUUCUUAGGUAUCUUAUUGUUUAUGAUGGGACGGUAACUGAAAUUGUUUUCUUAACUUUUCUUUCUGAUAAUUAGUCGCUAGUAUAUACAAAUGCAACAGAUUUCUGUAUAUUAAUUUUAUAUCCUGCAACUUUACCAAAUUUGUUGAUGAGUUCUAGUAGUUUUUUGAUGGUGUCUUUAACAUUUUCGCUGUAUAGUAUUAAUAUCAUGUCGUCUGCAGUGACAGUUUUACUUCUUCCUUUCCAAUUUGGAUUCCUUUUGUUUCUUUUUCUUCUCUAAUUGUCAUGGCUAGGACUUUUAAUACUGUGUUGAAUAAAAGUGGUGACAGUGGGCCAUCCUUGGUUUGUUCCUGAUCUUAGAAGAAAUGUUUCAGCUUUUUCCAUAGAGUAUGAUGUUAGCAGGACAGGGAGGCCUGGCAUGCUGCAGUCCAUGGGGUCACAAAAAGUCAGACAUGGCUGGGCGACUGAACAACAAGAGCAACAAAUGAUGUUAGCAAUGGGCUUGCCAUAUAUGGCCCUUGUCAUGUUGAGGUAUGCUCCAUCUAUACCCACUUUCUGGGGGAGUUUUAAUCAUAAAUGGAUAAUGAAUUUUGUCAGAAGCUUUUUCUGUACCUACUGAGAUGAUACAGUUUUAUUCUUCAAAUUGUUAGUAUGGUGUGUCACAUUGAUUGAUUUACAGAUACUGAACUAUCCGUGCAUCCUUGAGAUAAAUUCCAAUUGAUCAUGGUGUGUAAUCUUCUGAAUGUAUUGUUGAGUCUGGUUUGCUAAUACUUUGUCGAGGAUUUUUCCACCUCUUCAUCUGUAUUGGCCUGUGAUUUCUUUUGUGUGUGUGUAACAUCAUUCUCUGGUUUGGGCAUCAGGAUGAUACUGGUCUUAUAGGAUAAGCAUGGCCAGCUUCUUAUUUGUCCCUGGUCUUCACUAUUUCCUUCCUGUAGUCCCACUCUGGCCCUUUAGGUGAGAAAGAACAGUGAAGGGAGAAGUAGAAGGACAAGGAGUCUCUAUAAAUUGUCUGUCCUGUCAAAAACUAACUCUGCAUUCUUUGCAUUAAGCCUGAUCUGGCUCUUUCUCUUAUGAAUGUUUUUCUUGGGAUUUCAAAAAUCUUGCAGUGUUGGUGUCCUUCUCACUGUAUUUUGUGCCAUCCCUGAACAAGCUUCCUCCCCUGACUUUAUUCCUGGGAAUCUAGCUGUUCAUACAUUUACUUUCUGCUGAGGUUUUAUAGCUGCCAUCCCACCUCCUCCAACCCCUAGUAUAUUUUUCAUCCACAGCCAAAAUUUGACCCAUGGGAAGCACUCAUACAUUAUCUGCUCAACUAACUCUGCAGGUCAGUCCUGUCACAGUUGAGGCUUUCCUCAGUUGUACUCUGCAUGUCUCUUAUCCCCCAGGCUCAUCCACUGUCUCCUCCCCCACUCACAACUGCACAGUAUGAAGGACAUGUAUUAAGCUCUCUAAGUAGUCUUCUUAAAGUCCCUCUUCUUUCUUCCUUCUAAACUGAGGUUGAGGGGCACGUGAACAGAGAAGAGAUGGCCAGCACAGCUCUCUCCAAAAAGCUCUUCCCUGGAAAUCCACUCAUUUCCCUUCUAUAACUUCAAUAUGGGUGAGGCAGGAAAUUGACUUUCCAGUUAUAACCUCUACAAUUUUACGUCUCAGCCUAGUGCCGUACUCUGGAAUAAAUUAUCUAUUGUAUCUUGAAUCCUAAUGUCUUGAAUGAGUGAAACAAUUUUAACAUAUUAUUUCUUAGGUGUAUGUACAAAUUGUGGAUGAUGUGCAGAACAAAUCAAUACUGUACAUUUUGUCAGAAAGUGGAUGGAUGGGGAGGAAAUAUGAAUGCUUUUGUUUUUAUACCUUCUUAUCUUUUGGUGUGUUGCAAUGAGCCUGUGUUCCUACAGUAAAUGAUGAGGACUGUGUAAGAAACAGCAGUCAUAGAAAGCACAAGUAAAUUUAAAUUCUUUAUGCAGAUUAUUCAAAUUUAGGCCAUAUAUCAAUGGUCAUUUCAUAUGCAUCAAACAAAAUGAUUUUUAUUCUAAGGUAAUAAAAGUGUAGCAUUGCCUUAAACAUUUGAAAACACAAAAGUGUUUCCCCUGAUCUUUAUCUCGCAUUUACACAUUGUGCAAUUGAUUGGCCUGUAAUGAGUGAGAAGAUAAAAUAAGAGAAGUCUCUAAUUGAGUGGGAGGAGGGGGGACUAGGGCUAGUAUGUUGUA